Small nucleolar RNA from Dipodomys ordii (Ord's kangaroo rat), 65 nucleotides. Lineage: Eukaryota; Metazoa; Chordata; Mammalia; Rodentia; Heteromyidae. The record is from Ensembl.
UUUCUAUGAUGAAUCAAACUAACUCACUAUGACUAUUAAUGAAAACACAUGAACAUUUGAAAAAC